AUUCCAGACUCCUACGGGAGGCAGCAGUGGGGGAUAUUGCACAAUGGGGGGAACCCUGAUGCAGCGACGCUGCGUGGGUGAAGAAGCGCCUCGGCGCGUAAAUCUCUAUCAGCAGGGAAGAAAAUGACGGUACCUGACUAAGAAGCCCCGACUAACUACGUGCCAGCAGCCGCGGUAAUACGUAGGGGGCAAGCGUUAUCCGGAUUUACUGGGUGUAAAGGGAGCGUAGACGGCGGUGCAAGCCAGAUGUGAAAGCCCGGGGCUCAACCCCGGGACUGCAUUUGGAACUGUGCUGCUAGAGUGUCGGAGAGGCAGGCGGAAUUCCUAGUGUAGCGGUGAAAUGCGUAGAUAUUAGGAGGAACACCAGUGGCGAAGGCGGCCUGCUGGACGAUGGCUGACGUUGAGGCUCGAAAGCGCGGGGAGCAAACAGGAUUAGAUACCCGAGUAAA
RNAcentral lists this ribosomal RNA (449 nucleotides) under uncultured bacterium. RNAcentral describes it as "bacterial SSU rRNA". It matches the Rfam family "Bacterial small subunit ribosomal RNA", at positions 328 to 794 of the family's 1533-position model. The record is from RNAcentral.